This 278-nucleotide ribosomal RNA is filed under the name uncultured Staphylococcus sp. RNAcentral's name for it is "partial 16S ribosomal RNA". It matches the Rfam family "Bacterial small subunit ribosomal RNA", at positions 83 to 356 of the family's 1533-position model. The record is from RNAcentral. Lineage: Bacteria; Bacillati; Bacillota; Bacilli; Caryophanales; Staphylococcaceae.
CCUUUGACGUUAGCGGCGGACGGGUGAGUAACACGUGGGUAACCUACCUAUAAGACUGGGAUAACUUCGGGAAACCGGAGCUAAUACCGGAUAUAUUUCGAACCGCAUGGUUCGAUAGUGAAAGAUGGUUUUGCUAUCACUUAUAGAUGGACCCGCGCCGUAUUAGCUAGUUGGUAAGGUAACGGCUUACCAAGGCUACGAUACGUAGCCUACCUGAGAGGGUGAUCGGCCACACUGGAACUGAGACACGGUCCAGACUCCUACGGGAGGCAGCAGCG